UAAUUUGCAAUAAUUUAUAUAAUUUCAUGUGUUUACCUGAUGUCUGCUUUUAGAAAAAUAUGGAGCUGUUAGAGAAUUUCGUGAAAAACUUACUGAAGAAAAACAUCAUUCAGAAUUAUAAAGCCAAGAA
Leptinotarsa decemlineata (Colorado potato beetle) is the source of this 130-nucleotide long non-coding RNA. NCBI's taxonomy places the organism in Eukaryota, Metazoa, Arthropoda, Insecta, Coleoptera, Chrysomelidae. The record is from RefSeq and is a predicted model, not a curated record.